GUGAGUGGAGUUUUCUGAAACACGACUUCGCUGGGCUCGAGGUCUUGGGAGUUGCCACACUCUAAGCGCGGAUUACGUGGUGUGGUUGUAUUGCAUUCAAAUAGUUAGGUGUUUGGUGUUGGGUUGAGUUAUGUGUUUUGCAAAGAGAGGGAGUGUGUUGUUUUUGAGGAUAGGAGUUCAGAGACAUUGCGAGACCCUUUGAAUGGAGGAAGGAGUGAGACGUGUAAGACAGAGUGAACCAGAACAUCGACGAUAGUUGGAGCUAGUACGCAACGACACUGAUAUGGCAGAGGACUUGGUAUGGUCCGAAAAAACGCAGACCCAACUUUUGGUUCGAACGAUGCUCCAUGAAGUGUUGCCAGUAGGGUUGGAGGCACACCCAGACCUAAUCGCCAGAGUUGAAUUUGCGGUCAUCGCGGUGGUGGUUCGCUUGGUCACACAUGUGUUAGUGUGUCCAUCGUAAGUUUUCCUUGAGUUCGCGAAGGAUGAUGGUGUGAUGUGACAGUAUAUCGGGGAUGGUUGCGUCUACAUGUGGGUCCCAGCCGACCAUACAAAGUGUGGAACAGGGAGGUCCCUAUCGCCGAAUGGUGGGUGGUAUUGUGCCAUAGUUAUGCCAAUGAAGAUAUUGAUACCACUUACGAGGUUGGAUUCUCACAAAACACCUCAGGUAAACUUUGAAUCCUCGGUUAAGCACUUCCACUUGGCCAUCCGUUUGUAGAUGAUAUGGUGAACUGAAUUUUAAUGUAUUGUCUUAUGCUGUGAACAAUUGUCUCCAAAAAGUACUGACGAACAAGGGGUCUCUGUCAGAUACAAUUUUGUGAUUUCCAUACAUUUCGGGAAGGUGACAAAUUAAUCUUCGAGACUUACAGUGAGAAGGCCCUUACCGAUAUGAGGGUUUUGUUACUGCUGUGAAUAGUUUCUUUUUUGUCAAUUUAUUUUGGCAAAAUGUUUUUUUUUGGGAAACAAGGACAAUGGUACUUUUCCUUUUUAUUUAAUUUAACAAUAUUGUGCUUAAUAGUAUCUAUUCAUCAUUCAUUCAUUAUGCAUACUCAUCAUUCUUUUUACAAUCUGAUUUUUUUCAAUAUGUUGGCAUAAUUUUAAAUGUGCUAAACGUUUAGUACGAGCCAGUACAUAGAACAAAAAAUAAAAUGUAUGUAAAAUAAUAAUUUAUAAAUUUUAUCUCAUAUAUUGUUGUGUUCAUUUUACGAUUACACAUUCCAUAUGCAUGCUUUUUUAAAUUUUGUUUACAUUCACUUUUUAUUUUAGAUUCAGUUUUUUUUCCUUAGAUGUUGGGUCUUUUAUUUUAUUUAAGCUUAUUGUCAAUUAUACGUAGUUUUAUUUCAUUCAUUAUUUAUUUGCAUUAUAAGAAUACACACGGAGUUAAAUUUUAUUUGCAUGAUUCCAAUAUAUACUUUUAAAUAUGUUGUUAACACUUUAUCCAAUAUGUACACAAUAUUUUGCAUUUAGUUAUAAUUAUUACUCAUGUGUUACCACAAUAUGACGUGUUAAACCCUAUAAUCCUAUUUCGGUCAAGAAACGUACAUUCAUAUUAUCUAUUAUGUAUACUAAAUUGUUAUUUUCCAUUCUUUUGUUGCACGUUGUUCUUUUAUAAGUAAAUGCAUUCCGAGAACAACAGGAAUGUAACUCAACAUAUUGCACUACAGUCCCUCAAUGCAAAGAACUUUAUUAAUACCUCUCUACAUCUAAUAAUAUAUUUUUGGCAGAGUUUUACUAUGUAAUUGUUCUACAACUGUUUGGUUUUGUUUUUGUGUAAUUGUUUGUACUUUACUUAAUUUUUUUCAUUUCAUUGUUUAUUUAUGUAUUUCCUUCUAUUUUUUUUAAUUAUAG
Molecule: long non-coding RNA, 1848 nt
Filed under: Phaseolus vulgaris (common bean)
Lineage: Eukaryota; Viridiplantae; Streptophyta; Magnoliopsida; Fabales; Fabaceae
Description: long non-coding RNA (PVUL_LNC000608)
Source: RNAcentral